AUGAGGGCGCAGCGGGCGGAGGGCCCGGCGACGGUGCUGGCCAUCGGCACGGCGACGCCAGACAACUGCGUGUCCCAGGCGGACUACACGGACUACUACUUCCGUGUCACCAAGGGCGAGCACCUCAUCGACCUCAAGAAGAAGUUCAAGCGGAUGUGUAAGUAG
RNAcentral lists this ribosomal RNA (165 nucleotides) under Triticum aestivum (bread wheat). RNAcentral describes it as "partial small subunit ribosomal RNA". Lineage: Eukaryota; Viridiplantae; Streptophyta; Magnoliopsida; Poales; Poaceae. The record is from RNAcentral.